AGAGUUUGAUCCUAGCUCAGGAUGAAUGCUGGCGGCAUGCUUAACACCUGUAAACCGUAGGUUAAUUGGUUUAUUUAAGUGGCGAAUGGGUGAGUAAUGCGUAAGAGCCUUACUUUUUAGAGGGGAAUAACAAAUGGAAACUAUUGCUAAUACCCCCAAGGCUGAGGAGCAAAAGGAGGAAUCUGCCUAUAGAAGGGCUUUCGUCUGAAAGUUAGUUGGUGAGGCAAUAGCUUCCCAAGACAAUGAUCGGUAGUUGGUAUGAGAAGAUGAUCAACUACACUGGGACUGAGAAAUGGCCCAGACUCCUACGGGAGGCAGCAGUGAGGAAUUUUUUGCAAUGGGUGAUAGCCUGACGGAGCAAUGUCGUGUGGGGGCCUAAGGCCUUCGGGUCGUUUAUCUAUUUUCUCAGAAAGUAAUAAAUGAAAGUAUCUAAGGAAUAAGCAUCGGCUAACUUUAUGCCAGCAGCCGUAGUAAGACAGAGGAUGCAAGUGUUACCCAGAAUUAUUAGGAGUAAAGCAUUUGUAGGUGGUUUUUUAAGUCAGCUAUAAAACACUAGGGCUUAACCUUAGUUUAAGCAGUUGAAACUAUUAAGCUUGGAGUACGAAUAAGGGCAGAGUGAAUAUCCGUUGUAGCGGUGAAAUGCAUAGAGAUUGGAGAGAACACCAAUGGCGAUAGCACUCUGCUGGGAUGAAACUCACAUUGAGAGAUGAAAGCUAAGGUAGCAAAUGGGAUAAGAUACCCCAGGAGUCUUAGCCAUAAACGAUGGAUACCAAGUAUUAUGUGCAUCGACCCAUGCAGUGCUAUAGUUAACAUGUUAAGUAUCCCGUCUUGGGAGUACGUUCGUAAGAUUGAAACUCAAAGGAAUUGACGGGGGCCCACACAAGCGGUGGAGCAUGUGGUUUAAUUCAAUGCAAAGUGAAGAACCUUAUGAGGGCUUGAUAUUGCAUGAAUCCUAUUGAAAGAGAGGAGUGCUCUAGGGAUCAUGGAGACAGGUGGUGCAUGGCUGUCGUCAGCUCGUGCCGUAAGGUGUUAUGUUAAGUCCUGUAACGAGCGCAACCCUCAUGUUUAGUUGCUAUUUUAAUUUGAUGGAACUCUAAACAUACUGCCAGUGUUAAGCCAGAGGAAGGUGAGGAUGAGAAUAAGUCAUCAUGCCCCUUAUGCCCUAGGCAAUACACGUGCUAUAAUGGUUGGGACAAAAGUUGCAAUUCUGCAAGGAUGAGCUAAUACCAACACAAAAGAUUGGCCUUAGUUCAGAUUGCAGGCUGCAACUCACUUGUAUGAAGUUGGUAUCGCUAAUAAUCGCUGGUCAGCCAUACAGCGGUGAAUAUGUUCCUGGGCCUUGUACACACCGCCUGUCACACUAUGGGAGCAGGCCAUACCCAAAAUUCAUAAUUUGACCUCAUCAAUCAAAGGGAUGAAUUAAGGUAGGGUUAGUGACUAGACUGAAGUCGUAACAAGGUAGCCGUACCGGAAGGUAUGGCUG
Molecule: ribosomal RNA, 1483 nt
Filed under: Gastrodia elata f. glauca
Lineage: Eukaryota; Viridiplantae; Streptophyta; Magnoliopsida; Asparagales; Orchidaceae
Description: bacterial SSU rRNA
Rfam family: Bacterial small subunit ribosomal RNA
Source: RNAcentral